Molecule: ribosomal RNA, 476 nt
Filed under: uncultured bacterium
Lineage: Bacteria
Description: bacterial SSU rRNA
Rfam family: Bacterial small subunit ribosomal RNA
Source: RNAcentral
AGCGGCAGGCUUAACACAUGCAAGUCGAGGGGCAGCACGGGUAGCAAUACCUGGUGGCGACCGGCGCAAGGGUGCGUAACGCGUGAGCAACAUGCCCUAUACAGGGGGAUAAUACCAGGGUAAACUUGGUCUAAUAUCCCAUAGUAUUUAGAGGAGGCAUCUUCUAUAAAUUAAAGCUUCGGUGGUAUAGGAUUGGCUCGCGUGACAUUAGCUAGAUGGUGAGGUAACGGCUCACCAUGGCAAUGAUGUCUAGGGGUUCUGAGAGGAAGGCCCCCCACACUGGGACUGAGACACGGCCCAGACUCCUACGGGAGGCAGCAGUGAGGAAUAUUGGACAAUGGAUGGAAAUCUGAUCCAGCCAUGCCGCGUGCAGGAAGACAGCCCUAUGGGUUGUAAACUGCUUUUAUAUGGGAGCAAUAAGGUCUACGUGUAGACUGAUGAGAGUACCAUAUGAAUAAGCAUCGGCUAACUCCGUG